GUAAGCUUAACACAUGCAAGUCGCACGAGAGUUCUUAACUCUAGUGGCGGACGGGUGAGUAACACUGCUUUAGAAUCUGCCCUUAGGAGGAGGAUAACAGCUGGAAACGGUUGCUAAUACUCCAUAUGCUGAAAAGUGAAAGGAUUUAUCUGCCUAAGGAGGAGCUCGCGUCUGAUUAGCUAGUUGGUGAGGUAAAGGCUUACCAAGGCGACGAUCAGUAGCUGGUUUGAGAGGACGAUCAGCCACACUGGGACUGAGACACGGCCCAGACUCCUACGGGAGGCAGCAGUGGGGAAUUUUCCGCAAUGGGCGCAAGCCUGACGGAGCAAUACCGCGUGAGGGAUGACAGCCUGUGGGUUGUAAACCUCUUUUCUCAAGGAAGAAGUUCUGACGGUACUUGAGGAAUAAGCAUCGGCUAACUCUGUGCCAGCAGCCGCGGUAAUACAGAGGAUGCAAGCGUUAUCCGGAAUCACUGGGCAUAAAGCGUCUGUAGGUUGUUUAGUAAGUCUGCUGUUAAAUACUAGGGCUUAACCCUAGGCCAGCAGUGGAAACUGCUAGACUUGAGUGUGGUAGGGGUAGAGGGAAUUCCUAGUGUAGCGGUGAAAUGCGUAGAUAUUAGGAAGAACACCAAUGGCGAAAGCACUCUACUGGGCCAUAACUGACACUGAGAGACGAUAGCUAGGGGAGCAAAUGGGAUUAGAUACCCCAGUAGUCCUAGCCGUAAACGAUGGAUACUAGAUGUUUGCACGUAU
This 752-nucleotide ribosomal RNA is filed under the name uncultured bacterium. RNAcentral's name for it is "bacterial SSU rRNA". It matches the Rfam family "Bacterial small subunit ribosomal RNA", at positions 42 to 833 of the family's 1533-position model. The record is from RNAcentral.